Molecule: long non-coding RNA, 417 nt
Organism: Episyrphus balteatus (marmalade hoverfly)
Lineage: Eukaryota; Metazoa; Arthropoda; Insecta; Diptera; Syrphidae
Exons: 2
Source: RefSeq, a predicted model, not a curated record
CACAAAAAAAAAAAACUCCUUACGUUCCAGGAUAAAAUUGAAUUACAAACAGAUUGCGGGACUAAAAAUGCGUUCCCAAACAAGAGACUUACUAAAAACAAACAAAAAGAAAAAUCACAAAAAUAAAAAAAAAAAAAAAAACGGAAAAUGAAACACUGUAUAAAAACAACAAGGAACUAUGGCAAACAACUAACCGCAGGACCCUAAGCCAUAUGCACACAAAACUAAUUUUUACCUGCUAAAGCAAAGAGAAACUUUCAAACUUUUUUUUUUAUUUUGUUUUGGUCCUUCGAGCCGGCAAUAUGUAUAAAUUGGUUUAUUUUUAUUUUUUGUUUUUGUUUUUUGUUGAGAUUUCUUCAUGCGCCAGUAUUUUGUUAUUCAUUGGUAUUUGCUUUUCAAAUAAAAGCCUAACAAAUA